RNAcentral lists this ribosomal RNA (158 nucleotides) under Diversispora versiformis. RNAcentral's name for it is "5.8S ribosomal RNA". It matches the Rfam family "5.8S ribosomal RNA". Rfam says of the family: 5.8S ribosomal RNA (5.8S rRNA) is a component of the large subunit of the eukaryotic ribosome. It is transcribed by RNA polymerase I as part of the 45S precursor that also contains 18S and 28S rRNA. Functionally, it is thought that 5.8S rRNA may be involved in ribosome translocation. The record is from RNAcentral. Lineage: Eukaryota; Fungi; Glomeromycota; Glomeromycetes; Diversisporales; Diversisporaceae.
AAACUUUCAACAACGGAUCUCUUGGCUCUCGCAUCGAUGAAGAACGCAGCGAAAUGCGAUACGUAAUGUGAAUUGCAGAAUUCCGUGAAUCAUCGAAUCUUUGAAUACAAAUUGUACUUUUCAGUAAUCUGGAAAGUAUGCUUGGUUGAGGGUCAUUA